RNAcentral lists this ribosomal RNA (507 nucleotides) under uncultured bacterium. RNAcentral describes it as "partial 16S ribosomal RNA". It matches the Rfam family "Bacterial small subunit ribosomal RNA", at positions 28 to 507 of the family's 1533-position model. The record is from RNAcentral.
GACGAACGCUGGCGGCGUGCCUAAUACAUGCAAGUCGAACGCACUUUCUUUCACCGUAGCUUGCUACACCGAAAGAAAAUGAGUGGCGAACGGGUGAGUAACACGUGGGUAACCUGCCCAUCAGCGGGGGAUAACACUUGGAAACAGGUGCUAAUACCGCAUAAUUCCAUUUACCGCAUGGUAAAUGGAUGAAAGGCGCUUUUGCGUCACUGAUGGAUGGACCCGCGGUGCAUUAGCUAGUUGGUGGGGUAACGGCCUACCAAGGCUGCGAUGCAUAGCCGACCUGAGAGGGUGAUCGGCCACACUGGGACUGAGACACGGCCCAGACUCCUACGGGAGGCAGCAGUAGGAAAUCUUCGGCAAUGGACGCAAGUCUGACCGAGCAACGCCGCGUGAGUGAAGAAGGUUUUCGGAUCGUAAAACUCUGUUGUUAGAGAAGAACAAGGAUGAGAGUGGAAAGUUCAUCCCUUGACGGUAGCUAACCAGAAAGCCACGGCUAACUACGUG